Molecule: long non-coding RNA, 704 nt
Organism: Triticum aestivum (bread wheat)
Lineage: Eukaryota; Viridiplantae; Streptophyta; Magnoliopsida; Poales; Poaceae
Exons: 3
Source: RefSeq, a predicted model, not a curated record
CCUGGUGUGGCAGAUCUAUCAAAUUUGGUUGAGGGCUCCGUGCUUGCGUUUACUGUCUUGGAUUUCAUCGCUGUUUCGGUCCUUCAUGAGGUCACCGCCACACCUUCAUCUUGGUCACCAUGGUUUCCUCUCUUUUCUCUCUUGUUAUUUACUUCUUUUGAUUUAGCUCAAGUGCAUCUACUAACAACCAGUUAGUUUGCAGUACAACCUCCAUCCGUCACAGCCAAUUGACCCACACAAGCAUAGCUCAACUGCAGCUCUGAAUAAUUCCAUUCUCUGUUCUUAACUGCAGCUCUGACUUGACAGCCUGUCCAGAUUCAGCGCCAAGGAUCUCACUAUGGGGUGCACUAAGAUCUCUCAACAGUUUGGUAGCUCGGGAGAUCUCUCUCAAGUUUUGCAGCUUGGGAGAGACCUCUGAAGUUUGAUUGCUCGGGAGAACGCUUGUGUUGAGGUUGACAGCUCCGAGGCUGCCUUCACUCUCUUGGAUUAUAUCAUCGUUUUGGUCGCUCACGGGGCUGCCGUCAACGCCACAGUCUUCAUAUUGGUCUUUGCAGCAUUGACAAAUAACAACACCAGUUCAGCCUCAUCAGUCACAAUCAAUUGAUCCACACAAACAUCCAGAAGAUGGCUGAACUGCAGCUCUGAUUCCCCGUGUUCUUUGACCUUCCUCUCCAGGUUCAGUGCCAAGGAUCUCAGCGUGGGGU